Molecule: ribosomal RNA, 253 nt
Filed under: uncultured bacterium
Lineage: Bacteria
Description: partial 16S ribosomal RNA
Rfam family: Bacterial small subunit ribosomal RNA
Source: RNAcentral
UACGGAGGGUGCGAGCGUUGUCCGGAAUCACUGGGCGUAAAGGGUGCGUAGGCGGCGCGGUAAGCGUGCGGUGAAAGUCCGGGGCUCAACCCCGGAUCGGCCGUGCGGACUGCCGGGCUUGAGCACUGUAGGGGCGGGUGGAACUCCGGGUGUAGCGGUGGAAUGCGUAGAGAUCCGGAAGAACACCGGUGGCGAAGGCGGCCCGCUGGGCAGUGGCUGACGCUGAGGCGCGACAGCGUGGGGAGCAAACAGG